AAAUCAUCUCCAUGUCCAUAAAAAUGGCAUACUAAGUACAUAUAGGUCAAUGUAAACCGUCAUUUCAUAGUUAACCGUUUAUUGUUCAACUUCUCAUCACAUUUUAUGUCCCACAACUUGUCAAAAUUAAGAUAAUCUUAACAUGUGUGCGUAUCUACAUUUUGUGUUAACAUCCAAUGACGAUGACGAUACAGAAGACACCAAUGUGAUAUUCACACCAUGGUCAAAGAGACGAAAAACGACGAAAAGACAAGCAACAGUAUACAGUAUACAGGACACUACACAGAAAGCAUAAAACGGACCAACUAAUUCAAAAGAUAUCAACACGAUUUAUAUG
Molecule: long non-coding RNA, 337 nt
Filed under: Mytilus galloprovincialis (Mediterranean mussel)
Lineage: Eukaryota; Metazoa; Mollusca; Bivalvia; Mytilida; Mytilidae
Source: RNAcentral